This 425-nucleotide ribosomal RNA is filed under the name uncultured bacterium. RNAcentral describes it as "partial 16S ribosomal RNA". It matches the Rfam family "Bacterial small subunit ribosomal RNA", at positions 354 to 796 of the family's 1533-position model. The record is from RNAcentral.
GUGGGGAAUCUUGCGCAAUGGGCGAAAGCCUGACGCAGCCAUGCCGCGUGAAUGAUGAAGGUCUUAGGAUUGUAAAAUUCUUUCACCGGGGACGAUAAUGACGGUACCCGGAGAAGAAGCCCCGGCUAACUUCGUGCCAGCAGCCGCGGUAAUACGAAGGGGGCUAGCGUUGCUCGGAAUUACUGGGCGUAAAGGGCGCGUAGGCGGACAGUUUAGUCAGAGGUGAAAGCCCAGGGCUCAACCUUGGAAUUGCCUUUGAUACUGGCUGUCUUGAGUACGGGAGAGGUGAGUGGAACUCCGAGUGUAGAGGUGAAAUUCGUAGAUAUUCGGAAGAACACCAGUGGCGAAGGCGACUCACUGGCCCGUUACUGACGCUGAGGCGCGAAAGCGUGGGGAGCAAACAGCAUUAGAAACCCGUGUAGUCC